Molecule: ribosomal RNA, 247 nt
Filed under: uncultured bacterium
Lineage: Bacteria
Description: partial 16S ribosomal RNA
Rfam family: Bacterial small subunit ribosomal RNA
Source: RNAcentral
UACGUAGGGUGCAAGCGUUAAUCGGAAUUACUGGGCGUAAAGGGCGCGUAGGCGGUCUUCUAAGUCUUGUGUGAAAUCCCUCGGCUCAACUGAGGAACUGCACGGGAUACUGGAAGACUUGAGUUCGGGAGAGGGAAGCGGAAUUCCGGGUGUAGCGGUGAAAUGCGUAGAUAUCGGGAGGAACACCAGUGGCGAAGGCGACUACCUGGCCUGUUCUUGACGCUGAGGCGCGAAAGCUAGGGGAGCA